GACGAACGCUGGCGGCGUGCCUAAUACAUGCAAGUAGAACGCUGAAGGAGGAGCUUGCUCUUCUGGAUGAGUUGCGAACGGGUGAGUAACGCGUAGGUAACCUGCCUGGUAGUGGGGGAUAACUAUUGGAAACGAUAGCUAAUACCGCAUAAUAACAGUUGUUGCAUGACAACUGUUUGAAAGGUGCAAUUGCAUCACUACCAGAUGGACCUGCGUUGUAUUAGCUAGUUGGUGGGGUAACGGCUCACCAAGGCGACGAUACAUAGCCGACCUGAGAGGGUGAUCGGCCACACUGGGACUGAGACACGGCCCAGACGCCUACGGGAGGCAGCAGUAGGGAAUCUUCGGCAAUGGACGAAAGUCUGACCGAGCAACGCCGCGGGAGGGAAGAAGGUUUUCGGAUCGUAAAGCUCUGUUGUAAGAGAAGAACGAGUGUGAGAGUGGAAAGUUCACACUGUGACGGUAUCUUACCAGAAAGGGACGGCUAACUACGUG
RNAcentral lists this ribosomal RNA (495 nucleotides) under uncultured bacterium. RNAcentral describes it as "partial 16S ribosomal RNA". It matches the Rfam family "Bacterial small subunit ribosomal RNA", at positions 28 to 507 of the family's 1533-position model. The record is from RNAcentral.